CUGUUCCAUCGACAACAAACAUGGCCGAGGUUGCUGCAGAUGACCGUACCUAUCUCCAAGCUUUUGCUAAUUUUUUGGGAGCGCCAGAACCUGCAUUACGACUCCUGAUAUCUAUACUUAUAGGAUAUCCUAUAGUGUUAAUACAUCGCUACACCUUAUACUGCAAAAGUCCAAAAUUACAACACCUGUACUUCAUUGUGACUGGAGUUAGUAUUGCCCUUUUCAACUAUGGUCACAAUGUGGUCCACUCAGCAGUGUGUGUCAUGGUGGCAUGGUUGCUGCUUCUUCUUAUAGGCGGAACUCUCAAAUCUGUCAUCAUUUCCUUUGUCUUCCAGAUGACAUAUCUUCUCGUUGGUUACUACAUGACAGGAACAGACACAUAUGACAUCAAAUGGAGUAUGCCUCACUGUGUGCUGACCUUGCGGCUCAUUGCUCUCACCUAUGAUGUAUAUGAUGGCAGAAAAGAUCCAGGAAAAUUGUCAAAUGAUCAACAAAAAACAGCCUUAUCAUUUACUCCAACACUAGUAGAAAUUGCAGCUCACACAUACUUCCCGGCAUCUUUCAUGGUUGGUCCACAGUUCUCUAUGCGACGGUACCUCGAUUUUGUCAAGGGAACACUGGUUGGAUGUGAGCUGCCACCAUGCUUGAUACCUGGACUACUUCGUGGUGGCUUAGGACUCUUCUACCUAGCAGUCUAUCAAGUGGGAAUCAGCUAUAUACCUGAUGCAUUUAUCAACUCGGAAGAAUAUUAUGAUCUGUCUUUGUGGCAGCGUCACAUGAUGGUUGGACUCUGGGCAAAAAUAACUCUGUACAAAUACAUCUCAUGUUGGUUAAUUGCUGAAGGGGUAUGCAUUAUGUCAGGCCUCUCGUACUCUGGUAAGGAUGCAAAUGGCAACUGCCUAUGGAACGGCUGUGCUAAUGUCAAGAUUGGACUGUAUGAGGGAGCCACCACUUUUGGUCACAUGAUUGCUUCCUUCAACACUAAUACAAAUGCUUGGGUAGCCCAAUACGUCUACAAGAGGUUGCGGUUCCUGAAUAACCGUUAUAUCUCUCAAACCUCGGCUCUGGUGUUCCUCGCCGUAUGGCAUGGUCUUCACUCCGGGUAUUAUGCCUGCUUCUUCAUGGAAUUUGUUGUUAUGAACUUUGAAAGAGAUAUUGUCAAUUAUGUGAACCAGUAUCCACGUCUGGUUUCAUUACUCAAUGCCGGUCCCUUGAAAUACUUCAAAUUUGUUGUCCUAAAACUGUACGUGGUAGUCUUCAUGGGCUACUGUUUAGGACCUUUUGUUUUGCUCAAGCUCCACAGGUGGUGGAAAUUCUACAGUUCUCUGUACUUCUCUGGACAUUUGUUCUUUGCUCUAUGGCCUUUUUAUGCUCCGGCAGUUAAAGCAAUAAUAAAAACCAUUGGUGGGGAGAGAGUGAAAGACGAUAAAGGUAAAAAGGAAUAAAUAGAUAUAAAACAGAAUUUGUGUGGAAAAUACUUGGGAGAAAACUUAUGCAUGAGGAAUAGUUUUCUUGUUAAGAGACUUAGCAUGCCUACCACAGGGAUUAUGAAAACUGAGAGAAGGUUUUUGAAAAUACACUUUGACUGGAGUUGUGAAGUUAACCUACAGGUACCUCCCAGCAGUCAGUCAACUGCACCAACUUACAAAGGAACUCCUCUCAGUAGUGCUUAUGUAAUGUUUAAAGUAAGAUUCUGCUUGAACCAUCCUCUUACAACUAUUGGCAGUAGGUAAUUGAAAAAUGUAAAGAAAAAAAAUAUACCUGUAUACUCGUUUGAAGAAAUUAAUAUAUUGACGAGUGGUGGGAGUAAUGAAGGAUGUUAAAAAAUAAAUUAAAUAAAAUUUCCAAGGAAUUUUGGGGAUACACUAUAAGUAUAACCUCAGAAAUCCGGAAAACAAUUUUCCAAAUCAUAGAAAAUUUUCACCUUUGAAAGAUAAUUAAAAGCUAAAACCAAUAUUGCAUUUUUUUUAACAUCCCAUAGACUGUGCUCUUGUUGGGAACAGUAGUCAGUUGAGUUCAUGUGUGGCAGUGCUUGUUCUUUUAAUUUGUGAGCUAUACGCUACUACCGGUACAUCUAAAUGUCUUGGAAGAGCUUCGGAUUAAUAUCUAAGACUCAUUAUGUAUGUACUUCAGAUACAGUGAAGAUUUAUUCAUAAAAUUUUCACUAUUGGACUACAAAUAUUUUAAAAGGUAGUAUAGUUGUGUAUGCCAACCUUCACCCUCAAUAGGUCACACUAAUCUUUGUUACGAGUACUGUACUCUACUGUAAUCUUGACAAUGGUAUGAAGCGUGUGUAUCUAGAUCUUCAGCCACUUAUUGGACAAUAAUAGGUACAGUACUGAAUUAGGUGAGCUAGUGGUAUAUCUACUUUCAUCUAGGAUUCUGUAAUGGGAAACAUCUUGAUAUCUCAAAAGGUCAGUAGUGUUUGUGUGUUACAGGUAUCUGGCAACUUCAUGGUCCUAACAUUUCCGGAUUUCUGAGGUCGUCAUACUAUAGUUCAGGGGAAAGUGUUAAGUCUUCUGGCAUGAUACUGUUUAUUGGAAAGGAUAAUAUAUGAAAAUAAAUUUGAAGGUGUGUUUCAGGAGAAUAUUUGAGGGAGAGAAUAAAGUCUAUACUGUACCUGUGUAUAUGGGAUUUCAGACAGGUAAAAAUUUGGAUGAAUGUGAAGAGAUUUUAUCACACUAUUUAAAGAUAUAUUAACUCUGCCUAUAGUUAUUCAGUAAAUAGAUAAAUGGAGAAUUGACCCUGAAUUCCCAUUUUUUUGACCUAGGAUUGAAACCUAGGACACCCCUCAACAAUAAUGGCUGGGACUAAACCAUUGAUUACUGAACUUAAAUCCUCCUGUUGUAGCGUAAACUUUAAGAAGGAGAAUUAGGAGCAAAAGUUCUCACACAAUGCUGAAGACUACAAUUCAUGGCAUCACACCAGAUGUGCACACUCUUCUAGUUCUUUCAGACUCUGCCAGUUUCGGCUGUCUUUGUCGAGCGGUUUCCUGGGUCUCAGUCUUGUAAACAUGGUGAGAUAUUACACAAAUCUGUUCAGAAAAGCACUGUCAUUAAUGAACACUAGAUACUGUACUGUAUUUAAUUUUCUCCUGCUUGCAGUGGAGAUGUAGUACAGUAAUAGACAAUGUCUUUCUUUGUUUGAGUCAUAGAUUAUGAAUGCAGUAUAAUUGAAACUAGUGUACCUACAGUCACCAUUUUUGUACCAAAGAUGUAUUGUGUCACCAAUUGUGUUCACAUGGGUGAGGUGACCUAGACCCAUUACUUUAAGGUUAGAAUAGGAAAUGGGUACAUUGUCUCUUCAUCUAGAGGACAUCUGUGUAAACCCUGACUCCAUUUCCCAUUGUAUAAGUCUCUUUGGGUUCUCUUGGAGGUUUCUUCUUCCUCAGGAAAAUUAUGAUGCAUUGUUUAGCUGAGUUGUGUGUGAGAGAGAGAGAAAUGGUUCUUGGUUUGAUGUACAUAAAUCCUGGCACCAUCUCUUAUUUUAUAUUGGUGUUCAAGGGUCUUGUUAAGUGAUGGGGACAUGGAUUCCUUUAGUAUUAGCCAUGUUAUUACUUGAGAGAGUCUAUGAUUUCAUUUUUGUCUUAGAUUGAUUAUAUUUAUCAUUCAGUUUGGAGGAAUGCUCUUUUUCCCUUUCCUUUUCUUUCUGUGUUAAGUUCAGUACAGUACAGGUAUUUAUUAAUUGUAAUACUGUAUUUGUUUGUUUUGAUUGUAGAGGUGGAAGACUGUGUGAGAAGAUGAAAUGAUGUAUAGUAUUUAUUUUUUUUAUUAUUUCUCCAUUCCCAUUCUACCAUUUGUAUUUCUCAAAUUUAAAGCAAGUUGGUGCUCGCAGAAUCUUCUUUAAAUAACUAAUUCAUCAAACAUAUUUGCUCUUUUAAGUUAUGAAAACUAGAAAUUGAACAUCUUUCAAAUAAUGUAGAAUUAAACAAUUUGGUAUGGCUAUUAUAUAGUCUACUUGAAACAUACCCCAGCUGAUAUUAUAAAAAAUCAGAAUGAGAGGUUUAACAUCUAGUGAAACCAUCAGUAUACCGUUCAUACAAAUAAGUAAUUGGCAUUCACCUUUGCAUGCCCUUUCAUCCCUUGCAUGUAAAACUUUAUUAUCAAAAUUGCUACUCCAUUUGCCUCUUGUAACUGUGUUACUGCUGUGUCUUAUAAGUAUUGAUAACUUACCACUUAAUGAAGUAUGUCACAUAUUUCAUGGAGACGGGUGGGCAUAAUUAAAUUACUUAAAUUGUUACUGAAAUUUGGAAAGCAAAGAGGUUACUUUUCUCUAAAAAAAAUAUCAUACAGGUAGUAAUAAUAUUGUAUAUAGUACAGUAUUGUGACUAUUAAUUAUUACUGAGAAAUGAAACAUGUCACAGAUUUCGUGUAAAUAGAACUUGGUAAAAAAAAAAUUAUUGAUUGAAAAUUUAGAAUACUAUGAUAAUGUAUUGGCAUUAAAACCUAGUAGUAUGUAAAGAGAUAUAGUAUCAAUUAAUGUUCAGGUAAUUUCUAAAUGUUUGUUUAUAUGAGUGAAGAAGAAAAUUGUAUUAUGUACUUAGAUGAAGCAGUUUAGAAAGGCAGGGUAACCAGUUGUGUGUACAUUGAGGCUGUGAGAACUCAACUCUAUUCCAUCUAAAUGUUUGUAUCAAACUCAGGUUCUGCUAGUGUUGCCUACUUUGUCACUGUGACUCCUACUCACUUAAUUAUAUGGAUAGCAUCUUCUUUAUUAUUUGUCCUUGUAUCCAUACUUAUAGUAGCUUUGGAUAGAACAAUAUUUCAGUAUUACUGGGUAUCUUUUUAGAUGUUAAUAUUGCACUGUAAACUGUAUGAUCAUUCAUGUAUCAGACAUCAGUUAUGAUUAAAUAUCUUCAUAACAAAGGAAGUCCGUGCAAACACUUGGAUCUGUAGAGGAAUAAUUUUAUAUAAUUAUUACACUGCA
This is an RNA transcript of Homarus americanus (American lobster), 4923 nucleotides long. It is a transcript of the gene named lysophospholipid acyltransferase 5-like, with no coding region annotated. NCBI's taxonomy places the organism in Eukaryota, Metazoa, Arthropoda, Malacostraca, Decapoda, Nephropidae. The transcript is spliced from 12 exons. The record is from RefSeq and is a predicted model, not a curated record.